RNAcentral lists this ribosomal RNA (4318 nucleotides) under Triticum aestivum (bread wheat). RNAcentral describes it as "partial small subunit ribosomal RNA". The record is from RNAcentral. Lineage: Eukaryota; Viridiplantae; Streptophyta; Magnoliopsida; Poales; Poaceae.
GUUUCCACUUAGUCCAAUAAAUAAUAUAGUAAUACAGCAUUUCGCCGCUCUUUUAAUUAGAUUUUUUUGGCCUUCGUCUCCGCUUCGUCUCGUCUCGUCUCACCACCGCCAGUCCACCACCAGCUCGCCGGAAUUCCCUCGCCGGAGACGCGCUGCGGAGGCAUACCUAGGAGGAGGAGCGAAGAAUGGGGAGGAGUGGAGGGGUGCCCGCUGCCGCGCUCGCUCGCUAGGGUUAGGUGCGCGCGUGCGUGAGGAUGGAGCUCGCUCUCUGAGCUCGCCUCGACCCCCCGCUGAGGGCAUUAGCUGUGCCGUCGCUGCGCGCUGGGUGAUCUGCCCUCCUGUGAGCUCCGGGGGAGCCGUUUUGGCUUGCGCCAUGGAGCCGUCUCUUCCGGGCGCGGCCACGGGUUGCGUGUUGCGGUAAGCUCCUGGCCGCGACAAGCUGAAGGGGAUCUCGACUGCCGAUCUGGUGCUAGCAGGAUGCCAGCUAGAAUCAUGGAGCAGAGGCACCACAUGCCCCCAUUCCACCUCCCCGUGGAGUCCGAAUCGUCUUCUCCCAUGUGAAAAAAGAUUCAUUGAUUUCGGGAAGUAGGUCUGCUGCAUCUUCUCCAGUCGAAAAGCCAAAGCCUAUUGGCCAAAGGUUGUGCAUCAAUUAGGACUUAUGGACCCAUACAAGUUGAUGGACCAGAAAACUCCCUUUGGUGAGCACAAGUUGUUGGGCCAUCAAAGGCAUGUUAACCUGCCGCCAACCCCCUGGAGGGCUGAUCAAGAUCCUCUACAACAACAUGAUUCGUUUUCGAAGCCGUUGGCUUUAUUUCCUAAUGCUAGAAAAGGACAUUUAAAUAUGACCCAAUAUGAGAAUGGACUUUUCUCAAGCUCCCUUCCAGACAUUUUUGACAACAAAUUGAGACUAACACCUAAGAAUGGCCUUGUUGGCCAGCCAGCUGAAAAGGAACUCAACCAUGCAGAUGACGAGCCUUUUGAAUUAACUCAGGAAAUUGAGGCACAAGUAAUUGGCAAUCUCCUCCCUGAUGAUGACGACUUAUUGUCAGGUGUUCUUUAUAAUGUGGGUCACCCUGCCCGUGCUAAUAACAUGGAUGACAUUGAUGACGAUAUAUUCUCUACUGGAGGUGGAAUGGAAUUGGAAGCUGAUGAAAAUAACAAAUUGCUAAAACUUAAUGGAGGUGCCAACACCGGUCAGACUGGGUUCAACGGCCUACUGUAUGGCGAAAACCCCUCGAGAACCCUUUCCAUUAGAAACAUUAAUACCAAUGUUGAGGAUACUGAAUUGAAACUCCUAUUUGAGCAAUAUGGAGACAUCCGAACACUUUACACUGCCUACAAACAUCAUGGUUUAGUGAUGAUAUCUUACUAUGAUAUAAGAUCGGCAGAACGUGCCAUGAAAGCGCUUCAAAGCAAGCCAUUCAGGCAGUGGAAACUUGAGAUACAUUACUCCAUCCCAACGGAGAACCCUUUGGAGAAUGACAAUAACCAGGGCACACUUGCAGUGAUUAACCUAGACCAGUCUGUAACUAAUGAUGAUCUUCGUCAUAUAUUUGGUGGCUAUGGUGAAAUCAAGGCGAUUCACGGGACAUCACAAAAUGGCCAUCACAAAUACGUUGAGUUUUUUGAUACCAGAGCAGCAGAAGCUGCACUUUAUGCUUUGAACAUGAGAGAUAUUGCAGGAAAGAAAAUCAGAUUAGAGCGCUGCUGCCUGGGCGACGGUAAACGUUUGACGCGGCACAGGCCUCCUGAGUUGGAGCACGAAGAGUAUGGUGCAUGCAAGCUAGGAAAUGCAAACAGUCUGCCGUCAACUUACUACGGUUCUGUCAACAUGGCUUCCAUGACUUCCGCUGGUCCUGAACAUGGGAUCUCUCGGGUUCUGCGUCCCAGAGUUCAGCCACCAAUACACCAAUUCAGGGAGGGAGCUUUCCUGGAUGUUCCCUCAAAUACUAUGCAAAGUAUAUCCUCUCCUGUUAGAAUUGCAACUGCAGUAACGCAUAACAACCGGUCGACUGUCGGCACAAUAUCACCCAUUGGAGUUAAGAGCAACUCUAGAACUGCUGAAGGAAUGGAGAGCAGACAUCUUUACAAAGUUGGUUCUGCUAACCUUGGUGGUCAUUCUUCUGGUCAUACCGAAGCACCCGGGUUUUCAAGAACUGGAAGCUGCCCCCUUCAUGGCCACCAAGUAGCGUGGAAUAAUUCAAAUAACUCCCAUCACCAUACCUCCUCUCCCAUGCUAUGGACGAACUCAGGAUCAUUUAUCAAUAAUAUACCAUCUCGACCUCCCAUGCAAGCGCAUGGAAUUUCAAGAACAUCUCGCAUGCUUGAAAAUGUCCUUCCAGUGAAUCAUCAUGUUGGAUCUGCACCAGCUGUCAAUCCAUCAAUUUUGGAUAGGAGAACUGGUUAUGUAGGGGAGCUGAUGGAAGCGCCAAGUUUCCACCCUGGGAGUGCUGGAAGCAUGGGUUUCUCUGGUAGUCCGCAUCUGCAUCAGUUGGAGCUCACUAGCAUGUUUCCUCAGAGUGGAGGGAACCAAGCCAUGUCCCCUGCACACAUUGGUGCUCGAUCUCCUCAGCAGAGGGGGCAUAUGUUUAAUGGAAGGGGUCAUAUAGGUCCCCCUCCAUCUUCAUUUGAUUCACCAGGUGAACGUGCAAGGAGCCGAAGAAACGAGUCAUGUGCUAAUCAAUCGGAUAAUAAAAGGCAGUAUGAGCUAGACAUUGAGCGUAUAGUCUGCGGCGAGGAUUCCCGGACUACUUUAAUGAUAAAGAACAUCCCAAACAAGUACACCUCUAAGAUGCUUUUGACCGCUAUUGAUGAAAAUCACAAGGGAACUUAUGAUUUUAUCUAUCUUCCAAUUGACUUUAAGAAUAAAUGCAACGUGGGCUACGCAUUCAUCAAUAUGAUAAGUCCUGAACAUAUUGUUCCAUUCUAUAAGGUGAGAGUGAGAUGUUACAAGUUAUGAAAUGGCGGCAGUGUAUUAGAUAAAGCUUCAUGUUGACAUUUUUAUAUGAUUUUUCACCCUCUGCUUUCCGUCGUCAUUUCUUUUUCCAUAACUACCUGUAUUACACUAUCAUGCUACAAUUGCAUGGAUUUUGGAUAUCGCAUGUCAGGUAGUCAGUAGUACCUUUACCAUUUCUGGUUUCACGCUCUAAGCAUUUUUUACCUAAUGCCAGUCGAUAAAUGAACAACAUACAUGCCUGUCUCUUUCAGAUAUUUCAUGGGAAAAGGUGGGAGAAAUUCAAUAGCGAGAAGGUAGCAUCACUUGCAUAUGCUAGAAUCCAAGGAAAAUCAUCUCUAAUUGCGCACUUCCAAAAUUCAAGUUUGAUGAAUGAGGAUAAACGCUGCCGCCCUAUACUUUUUCACUCAGAUGGUCCAAAUGCAGGGGAUCAAGAACCUUUUCCAAUGGGAACACACGUCCGUUCUAGGCCUGGGCGAUCCAGGGUUUUGAGCUGCGAAGAAAGUCACCGGGACACUCUGUCAUCUUCUGCCAACAAUUGGACUCCUUCCAACGGGGGCGGCCACGCUUCAGGCUACUCAAAGGAGGCUGACCCAACCACAGCUUGAAAGCUGAAGCACUAACCACAACAUCAACAUCCAACCUUUUGACAUUUGCAAUCCCAGUUUUCACAUUACCAUCCUUUCCCACCUCUUUUUGCUUGUGGUAUUUUCGGAGUCUGUAGCUAUUUAGUACUUUCUAUGUCGUGGGCUACCAGAGGCUUCCUAGAGGCUGCAAAUUUUGUCGCUGAGUAGAAGCAAGGGAACGGACGGAGGGUGCUCCCAGUUUCUCCUGAGCCUAUAUGCGUGUAUUAACUGAAGGCCGUGGAAGGCAAAACUCGUGGGGAGCUCUCUGAGAUUUUGGACUGUAAGGUGUAACCCAGCGUUGUACAGGGUUUCCUAGUAAGAAUGCAUGACGGGGACAGCCGACACUGUAUUGGUGCUGUUGUAUGAAAGGCAGGCUGUGCCAUGCAGCGUCUUUUGAAACUGUUUUGAUGUUAACUACUCCCUCCGUCCGCGAAUAAGUGUACAUCUAGCUUUUAUUCUAACUCAAAGUUUUGAAACUUUGACCAACUUUAUAGGUAAAAGUAGCAUCAUUUAUGGCACUAAAUUAGUAUCACUAGAUUCGUUCUGAAGUGUAUUUUUAUAAUAUACCAAUUUGAUGUCAUAUAAUCCUACUACUCUUUUUUAACAAGUUGGUCAAAAUUAUAAAACUUUGACUUAGGAAAAACGGUAGAAGUACACUUAUUCGAGGACGGAGGGAGUAGGAAACAUGCCCGUGUGUUGCAACGGGAGAAAUAAAAUCCUUGACAUAAUGAUAAUUGUU